GCCGGUGUAGCUCAGUGGUAGAGCGUCCGAUUCGUAAUCGGUUGGUCAGCGGUUCAAAUCCGCUCAUCGGCU
This 72-nucleotide transfer RNA is filed under the name Cyanobacteria bacterium QH_1_48_107. RNAcentral describes it as "tRNA-Thr". It matches the Rfam family "tRNA". From Rfam's summary of the family: Transfer RNA (tRNA) molecules are approximately 80 nucleotides in length. Their secondary structure includes four short double-helical elements and three loops (D, anti-codon, and T loops). Further hydrogen bonds mediate the characteristic L-shaped molecular structure. tRNAs have two regions of fundamental functional importance: the anti-codon, which is responsible for specific mRNA codon recognition, and the 3' end, to which the tRNAs corresponding amino acid is attached (by aminoacyl-tRNA synthetases). tRNAs cope with the degeneracy of the genetic code in two manners: having more than one tRNA (with a specific anti-codon) for a particular amino acid; and 'wobble' base-pairing, i.e. permitting non-standard base-pairing at the 3rd anti-codon position. RNAcentral also lists the same sequence under 24 other names. The record is from RNAcentral. Lineage: Bacteria; Bacillati; Cyanobacteriota.